This 303-nucleotide ribosomal RNA is filed under the name uncultured bacterium. Its description in RNAcentral is "partial 16S ribosomal RNA". It matches the Rfam family "Bacterial small subunit ribosomal RNA", at positions 507 to 809 of the family's 1533-position model. The record is from RNAcentral.
AGCAGUCGCCGCGGUAAUACAGAGGGUGCGAGCGUUAAUCGGAUUUACUGGGCGUAAAGCGUGCGUAGGCGGCUUCUUAAGUAGGAUGUGAAAUCCCUGAGCUUAACUUAGGAAUUGCAUUCGAUACUGGGAAGCUAGAGUAUGGGAGAGGAUGGUAGAAUUCCAGGUGUAGCGGUGAAAUGCGUAGAGAUCUGGAGGAAUACCGAUGGCGAAGGCAGCCAUCUGGCCUAAUACUGACGCUGAGGUACGAAAGCAUGGGGAGCAAACAGGAUUAGAUACCCCUGUAGUCCCUGUCUCUUAUAU